AUUGGGGACUUUACUGAAAGUUUCUAUUCGUCGGAGAAAGAGGGAGGAGCCCCCCGACAGCAAGCUAGGAUGCAAUUAUUUCAAGAUGCGCUGAAUGACUGUUCGCUUGAAGAUAUUGGAUACAAUGGGGACAAGUUUACGUUUUUCAGAGGAGGGCUACGUGAACGUCUAGACCGGGCUGUGUCUAAUGCAGAGUGGAUGGAGAUGCAUCCGUUGUGUGGAUUGAGUAAUCUGGAGAUGGGCAAGUCGGACCAUAGACCAAUUUGCCUAGAUACUGAACACUUGGCCGGAGUGGCUGCGGAUCGGCCCAUGAACAGGCGCAAGUUUGAGGCUCGAUGGUUAGCGGAAGAAGCAGUUGAAGAGAUCGUUAAAACGGCGUGGCUAAAGGCGGUCACUCAAGGCCUAUGUCCUACUGCAAAGGACAAGCUAAACGCCGUCCAUAAAGACCUACAUGCAUGGGAUAGAAAGAUCUUGAAAGGGCCGAGGUAUAGAUUGAGAGCAGCUCAACAAGAGCUUGAGGUGCUUAUGAAACAGCCACAUAAUGCAGAGGUAAAAGCAAAACAACAAGAUCUCACAAUGAUAAUUGAGAAUCUCCUAGAGCAAGAGGAGGUCUAUUGGGCACAACGUCGUCGUGCAAACUGGCUACAGCGUGGUGACCGCAACACAAGGUUUUUUAAUCAGUUUGCCUCAGCUCGUAGAUGUCGUAAUUUAAUUAAGAGAUUGAAAAGCAAUAAUAAUGCUUGGGUUGAGGGUAAUGAUAACCUCAAGCCCUUGAUUCUUGAGUAUUUUCAGAGCCUUUUUCACACUGAUUCAGGGAUGAUUGAUGAUGAUUUUGAAGGAAAUAUGCCCUAG
RNAcentral lists this ribosomal RNA (852 nucleotides) under Triticum aestivum (bread wheat). RNAcentral describes it as "partial small subunit ribosomal RNA". Lineage: Eukaryota; Viridiplantae; Streptophyta; Magnoliopsida; Poales; Poaceae. The record is from RNAcentral.